GAUGAACGCUGGCGGCGUGCCUAAUACAUGCAAGUCGAGCGAACAGACGAGGAGCUUGCUCCUCUGACGUUAGCGGCGGGCGGGUGAGUAACACGUGGAUAACCUACCUCUUAGACUGGGAUAACUUCGGGAAACCGGAGCUAAUACCGGCUCAUAUAUUGUACCGCAUGGUUCAAUAGUGAAUGACGGUUUUCCUGUCACUUAUAGAUGGUUCCGCGCCGGAUUAGCUAGUUGGUAAGGUAACGGCCCACCAAGGCGACGAUCCGUAGCCGACCUGAGAGGAUGAUCAGCCACACUGGAACUGAGACACGGUCCAGACUCCUACGGGAGGCAGCAGUGGGGAAUAUUGGACAAUGGGCGCAAGCCUGAUCCAGCCAUACCGCGUGGGUGAAGAAGGCCUUCGGGUUGUAAAGCCCUUUUGUUGGGAAAGAAAAGCAGCAGGUUAAUACCCCGCUGUUCUGACGGUACCCAAAGAAUAAGCACCGGCUAACUUCGUG
This 497-nucleotide ribosomal RNA is filed under the name uncultured bacterium. RNAcentral describes it as "partial 16S ribosomal RNA". It matches the Rfam family "Bacterial small subunit ribosomal RNA", at positions 28 to 507 of the family's 1533-position model. The record is from RNAcentral.